This is a non-coding RNA of Dunaliella salina, 86 nucleotides long. Lineage: Eukaryota; Viridiplantae; Chlorophyta; Chlorophyceae; Chlamydomonadales; Dunaliellaceae. The record is from the annotation of a GenBank genome assembly.
GUCGCCAUAGUUUAGUGGUCAGAAUUCCUGCCUGUCAUUAGGAUCGUGGAACGCAGGGGGCCGGGGUUCGAUUCCCCGUGGUGGCG